RNAcentral lists this small RNA (68 nucleotides) under Cavia aperea (Brazilian guinea pig). Its description in RNAcentral is "Y RNA (ENSCAPG00000004370.1)". The record is from RNAcentral. Lineage: Eukaryota; Metazoa; Chordata; Mammalia; Rodentia; Caviidae.
AGUGGGUUAUCAGAACUUAUUAACAUUAGUGUCACUAAAGUUGUUAUACCACCCCCCUCCCCACUGCU